This 552-nucleotide unclassified non-coding RNA is filed under the name Hevea brasiliensis (rubber tree). Lineage: Eukaryota; Viridiplantae; Streptophyta; Magnoliopsida; Malpighiales; Euphorbiaceae. The record is from RNAcentral.
UGAGGACAACACAAGACCACUUAAUUGGGCCAAGUGGAGCGCACCAAUUGAAGGUAACAUGCAAGGUGGCGUGAGGAACCAAAGUGAAUCCAUGCAUGAGAAUGUAAACCAAGCAUGCAGCGUGAAGGAAUUAAGCCAAGGGAAAUGAGGCGCAUGGCCUUGACAAGUGGUCAUUGCAUGUGGGACUUGCCAAGUGGCUUUGAGGAAGGCACGGCAAGUGGAGCAAGAGGGCAAUUUGCAUGGCCAACCUCUUCAUUCAUGCAGCGUGAACUUGGUGGGAGGAAUUAUCCCGCCCAAUGGAAGACCACUUGGUGGGACCCAAGUGGUUGCCGCCCAAAACAUUUUCCAUGGCAUUUUGAAAUGCUCACGCGGGAGCUAGGUGUCAAGCCGCAGCCGGUCCUCAUGUCCUUCCCCUAAUACUUUAAUUGUGUAAUUUAAAGUGUUUUAAAUUCAGCCACUCAAUGGCCAUCAUGGGCAGCCGGCCAAAACAUUUGUAUAUAAGGGAGUUGUCCCUUGUUUAUGUAGAUAGAGAGAGUGAGUUUGAGUGAGCGG